RNAcentral lists this ribosomal RNA (506 nucleotides) under uncultured bacterium. RNAcentral's name for it is "partial 16S ribosomal RNA". It matches the Rfam family "Bacterial small subunit ribosomal RNA", at positions 29 to 523 of the family's 1533-position model. The record is from RNAcentral.
AGUGAACGCUGGCGGUAGGCCUAACACAUGCAAGUCGAACGGCAGCACAGGAGAGCUUGCUCUCUGGGUGGCGAGUGGCGGACGGGUGAGGAAUACAUCGGAAUCUACUUUUUCGUGGGGGAUAACGUAGGGAAACUUACGCUAAUACCGCAUACGACCUACGGGUGAAAGCAGGGGACCUUCGGGCCUUGCGCGAUUGAAUGAGCCGAUGUCGGAUUAGCUAGUUGGCGGGGUAAAGGCCCACCAAGGCGACGAUCCGUAGCUGGUCUGAGAGGAUGAUCAGCCACACUGGAACUGAGACGCGGUCCAGACUCCUACGGGAGGCAGCAGUGGGGAAUAUUGGACAAUGGGCGCAAGCCUGAUCCAGCCAUACCGCGUGGGUGAAGAAGGCCUUCGGGUUGUAAAGCCCUAUUGUUGGGAAAGAAAUCCAGCUGGCUAAUACCCGGUUGGGAUGACGGUACCCAAAGAAUAAGCACCGGCUAACUUCGUGCCAGCAGCCGCGGUAA